RNAcentral lists this ribosomal RNA (272 nucleotides) under Caulobacteraceae bacterium. RNAcentral's name for it is "partial 16S ribosomal RNA". It matches the Rfam family "Bacterial small subunit ribosomal RNA", at positions 1 to 303 of the family's 1533-position model. The record is from RNAcentral. Lineage: Bacteria; Pseudomonadati; Pseudomonadota; Alphaproteobacteria; Caulobacterales; Caulobacteraceae.
CAACUUGAGAGUUUGAUCCUGGCUCAGAGCGAACGCUGGCGGCAGGCUUAACACAUGCAAGUCGAACGCCCCGCAAGGGGAGUGGCAGACGGGUGAGGAACACGUGGGAACGUACCUUUUGGUUCGGAAUAACUCAGGGAAACUUGUGCUAAUACCGGAUAAGCCCUUCGGGGGAAAGAUUUAUCGCCAAAAGAUCGGCCCGCGUCUGAUUAGCUAGUUGGUGAGGUAAUGGCUCACCAAGGCGACGAUCAGUAGCUGGUCUGAGAGGAUGA